This 377-nucleotide ribosomal RNA is filed under the name uncultured bacterium. RNAcentral describes it as "bacterial SSU rRNA". It matches the Rfam family "Bacterial small subunit ribosomal RNA", at positions 30 to 417 of the family's 1533-position model. The record is from RNAcentral.
AUUGAACGCUGGCGGCAUGCCUUACACAUGCAAGUCGAACGGUAACAGGUCAAGCUGACGAGUGGCGAACGGGUGAGUAAUAUAUCGGAACGUGCCCAGUAGUGGGGAUAGCCCGGCGAAGCCGGAUUAAUACCGCAUACGACCUACGGGUGAAAGCGGGGAUCGCAAGACCUCGCGCUAUUGGAGCGGCCGAUAUCAGAUUAGCUAGUUGGUGGGGUAAAAGCUCACCAAGGCGACGAUCUGUAGCUGGUCUGAGAGGACGACCAGCCACACUGGGACUGAGACACGGCCCAGACUCCUACGGGAGGCAGCAGUGGGGAAUUUUGGACAAUGGACGCAAGUCUGAUCCAGCCAUGCCGCGUGCGGGAAGAAGGCCU